RNA transcript from Perognathus longimembris pacificus (Pacific pocket mouse), 708 nucleotides. It is a transcript of the gene named 40S ribosomal protein S2-like, with no coding region annotated. The record is from RefSeq and is a predicted model, not a curated record. Lineage: Eukaryota; Metazoa; Chordata; Mammalia; Rodentia; Heteromyidae. The transcript is spliced from 2 exons.
ACUAGGCUGCCUGGUUAAGGACAUGAAGAUCAAGUCUUUGGAGGAAAUCUAUCUUUUCUCCCCACCCAUCAAGGACCCUGAGAUAAUUGACUUUUUCCUGGGGGCGUCCCUCAAGGAUGAGGUGUUGAAGAUCAUGCCAGUGUAGAAGCCGACUCCAGCUGGCUAACACACCAGGUUCAAGGCAUUUGUAGCCAUUGGUGACUACAAUGGCUAUGUGGGUUUGGGUGUUAAGUGCUCCAAGGAGGUUGCCACUGCCAUCCGAGGAGCCAUCAUCCUGGCGAAGCUCUCCAUUGUCCCUGUGCGGAGAGGCUACUGGGGGAACAGAUUGGCAAGCCUCACAGCGUCCCGUGCAAGGUGACAGGCCGCUGGGGAUCUGUGCUGCUGCGCCUCAUCCCCGCCCCCAGAGGCACUGGGAUUGUUUCAGCUCCUGUCCCCAAGAAGCUGUUGAUGAUGGCUGGUGUUGAUGACUGCUACACCUCAGCCAGGGGCUGUACUGCUACUUUGGGCACCUUUGCCAAGGCCACUUUUGCUGCCAUCUCCAAGACCUACAGUUACCUGACCCCUGAUCUCUGGAAAGAGACCGUGUUCACCAAAUCUCCUUAUCAAGAAUUCACUGACCAUUUUGUGAAAACCCACACCAGAGUCUCCGUGCAGAGGACCCAGGCUCCAGCUGUGGCUACAACAUAGGAUUUUUAUACAAGAACAGUA